UUUUAUGACUUAAAAAACCCCACAGGCUGGUCUGAAGAGGAAGACAAACAUAAAGAUGAAGUGCUUAAUUCAAGGUCACACAAUGUCGGGGAUGGACCUCCAGAUUUCCUUACUGACCUGCAUUAUCUUGUGGAUACCUGAGUGAAUUCCACACCACCCAUUUUAUAGAUGAAACCACUGAGACAUGGAGCAACUGACUGAGUAGUCACUGCCCCACCCCUGCCUGGAGCCUCACACAUGACUCGUCUCCUCUCAGUGACCACAGGAAAACAAGCUCAGGGCUCCCACUGAUUGUACAUUAUGAGACGGAGUCUUGCUAUGUUGCCCAGGCUGGUCUUGAACUCCUCACCUCAAGCGAUCCUCUCGUCUUGGCCUCCCAAGUGUCAGGAUUACAGGCAUGUGCUAUCACACCCAACCUGAUACAUUGCCUUUAUAAAUUUUUUUUUCUUUAUUCUAAAAACCAGAAAAAACAAAACUGGAUACAUGUGCAGAACAUGCAGACCAAGUGUGUUGGGGACUUGAGAUGCGUACAUGAGUGUUUGUGAUGUUUCCUGCCGAAAGCACAGGUGAGACGUGGUCUUGUAACACAGUGGUUAAGAAUGUGACUUUGGAGCCAGCCUGCUAGGGGCUGAAUUCUGACUCAGCCAUUUACUAACUGUGUGACCUUAGGCUGGAGUGCAAUGGCAUGAUCUCGGCUCACCACAAUCUCUGCUUCCUGGGUUCAAGCGAUUCUCCUGCCUCAGCCUCCCAAGUACCUGGGACUACAGGCACUCGCCACCAUG
This 782-nucleotide non-coding RNA is filed under the name Pan troglodytes (chimpanzee). The record is from RNAcentral. Lineage: Eukaryota; Metazoa; Chordata; Mammalia; Primates; Hominidae.